UCCAUCAUCAACGACAAAUCGACUUCAACGAACUCGAAAUAAAACACUUCAUCGUUCAUCACACGAUCUCCAUCACGAAUCAACAACAUCAACAACGCAAAUCCAAGGUUCUUCCCCUUUCAAUCUUCACUAUUUGGUGCGCAAUUUCAGUUUCGGUGUUGAGAUACCUUAUGAACCCACCGUCAUUCUCGACCUCUCCGUCGUGGAAGAAACCUAUUUCUUGUCUUGUUUCAGUGAGUUUUUCUGGGUUGUGCGUGCGAGGGUUACGCGCCGUUGAGGGAGGAUUUCUCUGGCGUUGUCG
Molecule: long non-coding RNA, 301 nt
Filed under: Lathyrus oleraceus (garden pea)
Lineage: Eukaryota; Viridiplantae; Streptophyta; Magnoliopsida; Fabales; Fabaceae
Description: Pisum sativum (pea) long non-coding RNA (PSAT_LNC030585)
Source: RNAcentral